RNAcentral lists this unclassified non-coding RNA (868 nucleotides) under Hevea brasiliensis (rubber tree). Lineage: Eukaryota; Viridiplantae; Streptophyta; Magnoliopsida; Malpighiales; Euphorbiaceae. The record is from RNAcentral.
AGAUGAUGUCUUAUUGCACACUAUAAUGUGUUCAUUAUUCUUAGGGAAAAGAUGGACAGAAUUCACAGAUGCAUCGCCACCCCUUAAAGGAGGAGGUGGUCUAAAUGUCUGCAAACACUCUGUAGUUUUGGCAUCCCAGACCUUCACUGAGCCGUCACUAGAUGCGGUGAUGACUCGAGAUCCAUCAAAGGUAAAGAUGGCAUCAUUCACAUAAGAAGAAUGUCCGCGGAAUUCUUUUAACAAUUUACCUGACUUCAGGCCAUGAAUUCUCGCUGUGCUGUCAAAGGAUGUGCUUAAGAUCUGAGUUCCAUCUCGAGAGAAGACAAGACUGGUGACACCCUGAGAAUGUGCACGUUCAAGGCGACGCAAGCACUGACCAGUCCUUAUGCGCCAGACCUUUAUUUUUCCAUCUUGUGACCCAGACGCGAGCAUCUCCGAGUCUCUGCUAAAAUCAACACAAAGGACAGCAUCAUCAUGCAUCAUAAAAGUUUCAUCAGCCUGAUAUUGAAGAUCCUUCUUCAGUUUUCCACUUAUGUGAUCCCAGACCUCAAUAAAUCCAUCAACUGAGCAUGAGACAAGAAAUUGUCCAUCCGGUGAGAACCUAGAACAUUCUGGAUGACUCUUCUUACCAAACUUAAUAGUGUGACCAAGUGUUGUCGGAUACAUAUCCUCUUCAUCUUGUUUCAUAGCAGCUGUUCCUCGGAAUAGAUCAAACUGUGUUCCAGGUGGAAGUAAACCUUGAUGUUGUUGCCAUUUCAAGGCUUGACCAAUCAAAGCCAUUAGGCGUGAUGGUGGAACAACAGAAACCUCAGCAGAAAGCGCUUGGGAAAUUUGGGCACGCCUUUUCUCCUUGGUUGAGUCAUUAUAA